Molecule: ribosomal RNA, 554 nt
Filed under: Kocuria palustris
Lineage: Bacteria; Bacillati; Actinomycetota; Actinomycetes; Micrococcales; Micrococcaceae
Description: bacterial SSU rRNA
Rfam family: Bacterial small subunit ribosomal RNA
Source: RNAcentral
GGUGUGGAUGAGUGGCGAACGGGUGAGUAAUACGUGAGUAACCUGCCCUUGACUCUGGGAUAAGCCCGGGAAACUGGGUCUAAUACUGGAUGCUACAUGUCACCGCAUGGUGGUGUGUGGAAAGGGUUUACUGGUCUUGGAUGGGCUCACGGCCUAUCAGCUUGUUGGUGAGGUAAUGGCUCACCAAGGCGACGACGGGUAGCCGGCCUGAGAGGGUGACCGGCCACACUGGGACUGAGACACGGCCCAGACUCCUACGGGAGGCAGCAGUGGGGAAUAUUGCACAAUGGGCGAAAGCCUGAUGCAGCGACGCCGCGUGAGGGAUGACGGCCUUCGGGUUGUAAACCUCUUUCAGCAGGGAAGAAGCCACAAGUGACGGUACCUGCAGAAGAAGCGCCGGCUAACUACGUGCCAGCAGCCGCGGUAAUACGUAGGGCGCAAGCGUUGUCCGGAAUUAUUGGGCGUAAAGAGCUCGUAGGCGGUUUGUCGCGUCUGCUGUGAAAGCCCGGGGCUUAACCCCGGGUGUGCAGUGGGUACGGGCAGACUAGAGUGCA